GGCACGGCGACGUGCUCGGCGGCGUCGUGGCCUGCUCGGACGCGCGGGCAGCGGCGUUGCGGCAGGUCCGGAUCAUCACCGGUGCCGUGCUGC
This 93-nucleotide transfer RNA is filed under the name Lentzea flava. Its description in RNAcentral is "tRNA-Ser". The record is from RNAcentral. Lineage: Bacteria; Bacillati; Actinomycetota; Actinomycetes; Pseudonocardiales; Pseudonocardiaceae.